RNAcentral lists this non-coding RNA (147 nucleotides) under Oryzias latipes (Japanese medaka). RNAcentral's name for it is "Eukaryotic large subunit ribosomal RNA". It matches the Rfam family "Eukaryotic large subunit ribosomal RNA", at positions 2825 to 2984 of the family's 3401-position model. The record is from Rfam by way of RNAcentral. Lineage: Eukaryota; Metazoa; Chordata; Actinopteri; Beloniformes; Adrianichthyidae.
GAUAACUGGCGUGUGGCGGCCAAGCCUUCAUAGCGACGCCGCUUUUUGAUGUCUUCGAUGUCGGCUCUUCCUAUCAUUGUGAAGCGUUGGAUUGUUCACCCACUAAUGGGGAACGUGAGCUGGGGUUUGACCGUCGUGAGACAGGUU